UAAAAAUUACUUGGAAAUGAUGUUGCAAUGACAGGGGAUGCAAGUGGAAAAAAAGUGCAGUGGGCCAGAUGGAUCAUAAUGUAGAUUCUAUUCCUGUGUCAUGACCAAAAUUGUUGCAUCAUAAGAACACAAUUUUAAGUGUCCAUAUAUGGGAUUUGGUUUUAUGAUAAGGAAGAAUGCCAAAGAAUUGCAGAGCUCAUGAAAAACCUAACUCAGCAAGAGCAAUUCAAAGCACAGCAGGGCACUGGAACAGGAGCGUCCCCUAUGAUCACAAAUUCUGCUAAUAACAAAGAAGUGGAUAUUUUACGGAUGCUUACCAAGGCCAAAGAUGAGUACACUAAGGUGAGAUUUGCUAUCUCUAAGAUCUCAGCUUUUGUUUUUUGAUAAUACUGCAUU
This is a non-coding RNA of Meleagris gallopavo (turkey), 396 nucleotides long. Lineage: Eukaryota; Metazoa; Chordata; Aves; Galliformes; Phasianidae. The record is from RefSeq and is a predicted model, not a curated record.